UACAACUUCUACCACUUCAUCACCAUGGGAUUUGGUUUAAGAAACCACACUUCUCUACCGACAAAUAUAGCUGGAGUUGUUGUACCAGUUGCUGUGGGAUCGAGCAGUCAUAUUAAUAUCACGGUCAUGUUCCUUUAUGUUGGAGGUGAAAUUCACUUCAGAAUGAAGCGCGCUCAUGAAUACUUUCUGUGAGAUUAAACAAAUUGUUGCCAGUGAAUACGUGAAGAUCUAUUUCUUAUAUGAUGGUAAACGGAUCAAACCAGAGGAUACCCCUAAUCAACUUGGAAUGGAAGAUGAGGGGAUGAAAUUGAUUUCUUCAUGGAGAUGUCUGGCGGUGGUUAUUGAAGAAGCCACAAAAUGCGAAGAAGAUUCUAGUAGCUUGUAUUUUUCUUCUACCACUUUCUUCUCUACUGUUCUUGUGUUGUCCCGUCUCGCACAGCUUCAAUUUGGUUAAGCAAGAAAAUGAUGAGUGAUUCUCUGUGCAUCUGAGAUAAGUAAAUGAGGGUCAUUCUUUGUGUUCAUCAAGAGACAACAGCUUAUAAUUUUACUAAUAACUAAUUCAAGUUCUAACUGAUAUCCCCAUUCUAAACAACCAAUCUUCAUGAGCUACAUUUGCACUGCACUAGUCGCAUUAUUCACCAUUAGCUGCACAUGAGGGAAUGAAGAGAACACAAAGAACCCACUUUAGACCCUCCAAUCUCCAUAGAUCUAUGGAAGUGUGGUAAUAUCUAGUUGAGAUAAACUGAAACAAGAUAUCACCUGGAACAUUUCACCGGUUCAAUCAGAAACAUGUAUGUUAUAAUUGUCAGGAAGAGCAUGCUUUUGUCUGCAUCUAGAAAGUGUGAACAUGAUAUUAUCACCCGCAUCUACAAAGUAUGAACAUAUGACAUUGUAACCCCAGGAAAAUACAAUUAAAUCCGCCUGCGUUACAACUUGUAUUGGUACCUAUAAAAUUAUUUAUUUCAUUCAUGAAAAGAAAAAUCCGUACACCUAUCAAUUUGUGAUGCAUAGAAUUAACCCCCAGCCACAACAAAUCCGUCACGGACGGCCUUAUCAAGUUGACGGCUUCAUGCAAGAGAAGAACCUCCGGGGCCAGGACAAAAUUUGGAAAUCUAAACUACUUAUAUUUGACUUGAAU
This is a long non-coding RNA of Papaver somniferum (opium poppy), 1138 nucleotides long. RefSeq lists it as uncharacterized. The record is from RefSeq and is a predicted model, not a curated record. The transcript has 3 exons. Lineage: Eukaryota; Viridiplantae; Streptophyta; Magnoliopsida; Ranunculales; Papaveraceae.